Molecule: ribosomal RNA, 439 nt
Filed under: uncultured bacterium
Lineage: Bacteria
Description: partial 16S ribosomal RNA
Rfam family: Bacterial small subunit ribosomal RNA
Source: RNAcentral
CCUACGUGAGGCAGCAGUGGGGAAUAUUGCACCAUGGGCGAAAGCCUGAUGCAGCAACGCCGCGUGAGCGAUGAAGGCCUUCGGGUCGUAAAGCUCUUUCCUCAAGGAAGAUAAUGACGGUACUUGAGGAUGAAGCCCCGGCUAACUACGUGCCAGCAGCCGCGGUAAUCCGUAGGGGGCUAGCUUUCUCCGGAAUUACGGGGCGUAAGGGGUGCGUAGGUGGUUUCUUAAGUCCUUGGGGAAAGGCUACGGCUCAACCGUAGUAAGCCUUUGACACUGGGGAACUUGAGUGCAGGUGAGGAGAGUGGAAUUCCUGGUGUAGCGGUGAAAUGCGUAGAUAUUAGGAAGAACACCAGUUGCGAAGGCGGCUCUCUGAACUGUAACUGACACUGAGGCACGAAAGUGUGGGUAGCAAACAGGAUUAGAUACCCCUGUAGUC